GACGAACGCUGGCGGCGUGCCUAAUACAUGCAAGUUGAGCGCUUAAGGUUGGUACUUGUACCAACUGGGUGAGCAGCGGACGGGUGAGUCCCGCGUGUGUAAUCUGCCUUUGAGCGUGGGACCACGUUUGGAAACGAAUUCUCAUACCGCAUAAGAACUUUAAACACAAGUUUUAUGUUUCAAAGCUGCAAUUGCUUCACUCAAAGAUGAUCCCGCGUUGUAUUAGCUAGUUGGGGAGGUAGACGCUCACCCAGGCGAUGGUACAUAGCCGGCCUGGGCAGGAGGUAGGGCAAAUUUGGAAUGAGACAAGGCCCAAACUCCCAAGGGAGGGAGCAGUAGGGAAUCUUCGGAAAUGGACGAAAGGCUGAACGAGCAACGCCGGGGGAGUGAAGAAGGGUUUCGGAUCGGAAAACUCUGUUGGUAGAGAAGAACGUGGGUGAGGGUGGAAAGCUCAUCAAGUGACGGUAACAACACAGAAAGGGACGGCUAACUACGUG
This 497-nucleotide ribosomal RNA is filed under the name uncultured bacterium. Its description in RNAcentral is "partial 16S ribosomal RNA". It matches the Rfam family "Bacterial small subunit ribosomal RNA", at positions 28 to 507 of the family's 1533-position model. The record is from RNAcentral.